RNAcentral lists this ribosomal RNA (791 nucleotides) under Fusarium oxysporum. RNAcentral describes it as "partial large subunit ribosomal RNA". It matches the Rfam family "Eukaryotic large subunit ribosomal RNA", at positions 130 to 948 of the family's 3401-position model. Lineage: Eukaryota; Fungi; Ascomycota; Sordariomycetes; Hypocreales; Nectriaceae. The record is from RNAcentral.
UCUCGGGCCCGAGUUGUAAUUUGUAGAGGAUACUUUUGAUGCGGUGCCUUCCGAGUUCCCUGGAACGGGACGCCAUAGAGGGUGAGAGCCCCGUCUGGUUGGAUGCCAAAUCUCUGUAAAGUUCCUUCAACGAGUCGAGUAGUUUGGGAAUGCUGCUCUAAAUGGGAGGUAUAUGUCUUCUAAAGCUAAAUACCGGCCAGAGACCGAUAGCGCACAAGUAGAGUGAUCGAAAGAUGAAAAGCACUUUGAAAAGAGAGUUAAAAAGUACGUGAAAUUGUUGAAAGGGAAGCGUUUAUGACCAGACUUGGGCUUGGUUAAUCAUCUGGGGUUCUCCCCAGUGCACUUUUCCAGUCCAGGCCAGCAUCAGUUUUCCCCGGGGGAUAAAGGCGGCGGGAAUGUGGCUCUCUUCGGGGAGUGUUAUAGCCCACCGUGUAAUACCCUGGGGGGGACUGAGGUUCGCGCAUCUGCAAGGAUGCUGGCGUAAUGGUCAUCAACGACCCGUCUUGAAACACGGACCAAGGAGUCGUCUUCGUAUGCGAGUGUUCGGGUGUCAAACCCCUACGCGUAAUGAAAGUGAACGCAGGUGAGAGCUUCGGCGCAUCAUCGACCGAUCCUGAUGUUCUCGGAUGGAUUUGAGUAAGAGCAUACGGGGCCGGACCCGAAAGAAGGUGAACUAUGCCUGUAUAGGGUGAAGCCAGAGGAAACUCUGGUGGAGGCUCGCAGCGGUUCUGACGUGCAAAUCGAUCGUCAAAUAUGGGCAUGGGGGCGAAAGACUAAUCGAACCUUCUAGU